UCGGGAAUUUUGGGCAAUGGGCGAAAGCCUGACCCAGCAACGCCGCGUGAAGGAUGAAGUAUUUCGGUAUGUAAACUUCGAAAGAAUAGGAAGAAUAAAUGACGGUACUAUUUAUAAGGUCCGGCUAACUACGUGCCAGCAGCCGCGGUAAUACGUAGGGACCAAGCGUUGUUCGGAUUUACUGGGCGUAAAGGGCGCGUAGGCGGCAAUUCAAGUCAUCUGUGAAAUCUCCGGGCUUAACUCGGAACGGUCAGAUGAUACUGCUUUGCUAGAGUGCAGAAGGGGCAAUCGGAAUUCUUGGUGUAGCGGUGAAAUGCGUAGAUAUCAAGAGGAACACCUGAGGUGAAGACGGGUUGCUGGGCUGACACUGACGCUGAGGCGCGAAAGCCAGGGGAGCAAACGGGGAUU
RNAcentral lists this ribosomal RNA (408 nucleotides) under uncultured bacterium. Its description in RNAcentral is "bacterial SSU rRNA". It matches the Rfam family "Bacterial small subunit ribosomal RNA", at positions 355 to 779 of the family's 1533-position model. The record is from RNAcentral.